This 440-nucleotide ribosomal RNA is filed under the name uncultured bacterium. Its description in RNAcentral is "partial 16S ribosomal RNA". It matches the Rfam family "Bacterial small subunit ribosomal RNA", at positions 338 to 795 of the family's 1533-position model. The record is from RNAcentral.
CCUACGGGAGGCAGCAGUGGGGGAUAUUGCACAAUGGGGGGAACCCUGAUGCAGCGACGCCGCGUGGGUGAAGACGCGCCUCGGCGCGUAAAGCCCUGUCAGCAGGGAAGAAAAUGACGGUACCUGAAGAAGAAGCCCCGGCUAACUACGUGCCAGCAGCCGCGGUAAUACGUCGGGGGCAAGCGUUAUCCGGAUUUACUGGGGGUAAAGGGGGCGCAGGCGGCGAUGCAAGCCAGGAGUGAAAGCCCGGGGCCCAACCCCGGGACUGCUCUGGAAACUGCGUGACUAGAGUGCAGGAGGGGCAGGCGGAAUGCCUGGUGUAGCGGUGAAAUGCGUAGAUAUUAGGAGGAACACCGGUGGCGAAGGCGGUCUGCUGGACAGCAACUGACGCUGAGGCGCGAAAGCGUGGGGAGCAAACAGGAUUAGAUACCCCGGUAGUC